GUCAACGACCAUACCAUGUUGAAAACACCGGUUCUCGUCCGAUCACCGAAGUUAAGCAACAUCGGGCAUGGCUAGUAGUAGUACUUAGGUGGGUGACCACUUGGGAAAACCAUGUGUCGUUGGCA
Molecule: ribosomal RNA, 125 nt
Filed under: Anopheles epiroticus
Lineage: Eukaryota; Metazoa; Arthropoda; Insecta; Diptera; Culicidae
Source: RNAcentral